GACGAACGCUGGCGGCGUGCCUAAUACAUGCAAGUCGAACGCUUUUUCUUUCACCGGAGCUUGCUCCACCGAAAGAAAAGGAGUGGCGAACGGGUGAGUAACGCGUGGGCAACCUACCCAUAAGCGGGGGAUAACAGUUGGAAACGACUGCUAAUACCGCAUAAGCUAUUGAGGUCGCAUGACCUUAAUAGUAAAGGUGGCAUUUUUAAAGAUGCUAUCACUUAUGGAU
RNAcentral lists this ribosomal RNA (229 nucleotides) under uncultured bacterium. RNAcentral describes it as "partial 16S ribosomal RNA". It matches the Rfam family "Bacterial small subunit ribosomal RNA", at positions 28 to 226 of the family's 1533-position model. The record is from RNAcentral.